UGGCUCAAAUAGCUGGGAGCGAUUGGCCUGA
RNAcentral lists this non-coding RNA (31 nucleotides) under Homo sapiens (human). The record is from RNAcentral. Lineage: Eukaryota; Metazoa; Chordata; Mammalia; Primates; Hominidae.